Molecule: ribosomal RNA, 756 nt
Filed under: uncultured bacterium
Lineage: Bacteria
Description: bacterial SSU rRNA
Rfam family: Bacterial small subunit ribosomal RNA
Source: RNAcentral
AGAGUUUGAUCCUGGCUCAGAAUCAACGCUGGCGGCGUGCCUAACACAUGCAAGUCGCACGAGAAAGGGUCUUCGGAUCUGAGUAAAGUGGCGCACGGGUGAGUAACACGUGAAUCAUCUACCUUCGAGUGGGGAAUAACUGAGAGAAAUCUUAGCUAAUACCGCAUAAUACCUACGGGUCAAAGCAGCAAUGCGCUUGAAGAGGAGUUCGCGGCAGAUUAGUUAGUUGGCGGGGUAAUGGCCCACCAAGACGAUGAUCUGUAUCCGGCCUGAGAGGGCGCACGGACACACUGGAACUGAAACACGGUCCAGACUCCUACGGGAGGCAGCAGUGGGGAAUUUUGCGCAAUGGGGGAAACCCUGACGCAGCAACGCCGCGUGGAGGAUGAAAUAUCUUGGUAUGUAAACUCCUUUCGAUGGGGAAGAUUAUGACGGUACCCAUAGAAGAAGCCCCGGCUAACUUCGUGCCAGCAGCCGCGGUAAUACGAGGGGGGCAAGCGUUGUUCGGAAUUAUUGGGCGUAAAGGGUGCGUAGGCGGUUUGAUAAGUCUGAUGUGAAAUCUAUGGGCUCAACCCAUAGUCUGCAUCGGAAACUGUCGGGCUUGAGUAUGGGAGAGGUGAGUGGAAUUUCCGGUGUAGCGGUGAAAUGCGUAGAUAUCGGAAGGAACACCUGUGGCGAAAGCGGCUCACUGGACCAUUACUGACGCUGAUGCACGAAAGCUAGGGGAGCAAACAGGAUUAGAUACCCUAGUAGUCC